RNAcentral lists this unclassified non-coding RNA (147 nucleotides) under soil metagenome. RNAcentral's name for it is "partial internal transcribed spacer 1". The record is from RNAcentral.
CCGAGUUUACAACUCCCAAACCCCUGUGAACACACCACUUGUUGCCUCGGCGGAUCAGCCCGCUCCCGGUAAAACGGGACGGCCCGCCAGAGGACCCCUAAACUCUGUUUCUAUAUGUAACUUCUGAGUAAAACCAUAAAUAAAUCA